GAUGAACGCUGGCGGCGUGCUUAACACAUGCAAGUCGAGCGAAGCGAUUUUAAGGAAGCCUUUGGGUGGAAUUAAAAUUGACUUAGCGGCGGACGGGUGAGUAACGCGUGGGUAACCUGCCUCAUACAGGGGGAUAACAGUUAGAAAUGACUGCUAAUACCGCAUAAGCGCACAGUGCUGCAUAGCACAGUGUGAAAAACUCCGGUGGUAUGAGAUGGACCCGCGUCUGAUUAGGUAGUUGGUGAGGUAACGGCCCACCAAGCCGACGAUCAGUAGCCGACCUGAGAGGGUGACCGGCCACAUUGGGACUGAGACACGGCCCAAACUCCUACGGGAGGCAGCAGUGGGGAAUAUUGGACAAUGGGGGAAACCCUGAUCCAGCGACGCCGCGUGACUGAAGAAGUAUUUCGGUAUGUAAAGGUCUAUCAGCAGGGAGGAAAAUGACGGUACCUGACUAAGAAGCCCCGGCUAACUACGUGCCAGCCGCCGCCGUAA
Molecule: ribosomal RNA, 495 nt
Filed under: uncultured bacterium
Lineage: Bacteria
Description: partial 16S ribosomal RNA
Rfam family: Bacterial small subunit ribosomal RNA
Source: RNAcentral